CUUGUGUGUGUGUGUGUGUGUGUGUGUGUGUGUGUGUGUGUGUGUGUGUGUGUUUCUGGCGUUUACCGUGACCAACCGAACUCCAAACUAGAUUAUGAACUUCCCACAAAUAGUUCAUUGGACUGACUUCAGACUCAACAGUAUCUCAGCCUAUGGCUCUUUAAUUUAAGAGGCUUCGAGUAACAACGUUUAGACUGGACUCUGUAAAGUCAACUGGUUUUAUCAGGUUAUGUUUGGAGAGGGCUCCGGUAGCACAUUCCUCAAUAUAACAGUCAUUAUCUGCUUAUCGAAACAAAUAAUCUAUCAAAUAAAGACGAGACUCACAGGAAGACGAGCUCGGAGAAAAAGAGCGCCGCCACCAGGUUCCGGUGGAUGGCGUGGAGGUUGGAGCGGAGCCGGCGCAGGAGGCACAACAAGAUGAAGAUAGUCCAUAGUCCACCUCAGGCUCCUGCGAUCAGGGUCGUAUCUCUCCGGGAGCAGUUUUCCCAGCGAUUUGUACACUAUCACCACGGCAACCGGCAGAGGGGCAGUUGGCUCGAGGUGCCGGCGUCUCCUAUCAGACACUGUGUGCUCCUCCUCCUCCUGGGGGGGAUCUGUCUGAGUUGGAGGGGCCGGAGUGGGCUCAGCUGAGAGGGCGGAAGUUGAACUCGGGGAAGUGGACGUAGGACCCAAGCUCUUUGGGGUAAGCCUCCUGGAUGUCCUGGAACCGAGGGAAUGACGCCCUCUCCGGGUCCGACACGUCCAGGUAGUCCACGGUCAGAACUACAAGUCGGGCGAAAAAGGCGAAAAAUCGUCAAAAUGAUGUGAUGCCGCUAACCGUCUUCACACGGCGGGUU
Long non-coding RNA from Scophthalmus maximus (turbot), 836 nucleotides. RefSeq lists it as uncharacterized. The record is from RefSeq and is a predicted model, not a curated record. The transcript is spliced from 4 exons. NCBI's taxonomy places the organism in Eukaryota, Metazoa, Chordata, Actinopteri, Pleuronectiformes, Scophthalmidae.